UACGGAGGGUGCAAGCGUUAUCCGGAUUCACUGGGUUUAAAGGGUGCGCAGGCGGCCAAGUGUGUGAGGCGUGAAAGCCCGGGGCUUAACCCCGGAAUUGCACCUCAAACUACAUGGCUAGAGCAUUGGAGAGGGUAGCAGAAUUCAUGGUGUAGCAGUGAAAUGCGUAGAUAUCAUGAGGAAUACCAGAGGCGAAGGCGGCUACCUGGACAAUUGCUGACGCUCAGGCACGAAAGCGUGGGGAGCAAAAGGG
Molecule: ribosomal RNA, 253 nt
Filed under: uncultured bacterium
Lineage: Bacteria
Description: partial 16S ribosomal RNA
Rfam family: Bacterial small subunit ribosomal RNA
Source: RNAcentral